GUGCCAGCAGCCGCGGUAAAACCAGCACCUCAAGUGGUCAGGAGGAUUAUUGGGCCUAAAGCAUCCGUAGCCGGCUCUGUAAGUUUUCGGUUAAAUCUAUACGCUCAACGUAUGGGCUGCCGGGAAUACUGCAGAGCUAGGGAGUGGGAGAGGUAGACGGUACUCCGUAGGAAGGGGUAAAAUCCUUUGAUCUAUGGAUGACCACCUGUGGCGAAGGCGGUCUACCAGAACACGUCCGACGGUGAGGGAUGAAAGCUGGGGGAGCAAACCGGAUUAGAUACCCGGGUAGUCCCAGCUGUAAACUAUGCAAACUCAGUGAUGCAUUGGCUUGUGGCCAGUGCAGUGCCGCAGGGAAGCCGUUAAGUUUGCCGCCUGGGAAGUACGUACGCAAGUAUGAAACUUAAAGGAAUUGGCGGGGGAGCACCACAAGGGGUGAAGCCUGCGGUUCAAUUGGAGUCAACGCCAGAAAUCUUACCCGGAGAGACAGCAGAAUGAAAGGUCAAGCUGAAGACUUUACCAGACAAGCUGAGAAGUGGUGCA
RNAcentral lists this ribosomal RNA (540 nucleotides) under uncultured archaeon. RNAcentral's name for it is "bacterial SSU rRNA". It matches the Rfam family "Archaeal small subunit ribosomal RNA", at positions 455 to 994 of the family's 1478-position model. The record is from RNAcentral.